RNAcentral lists this ribosomal RNA (492 nucleotides) under uncultured bacterium. RNAcentral describes it as "partial 16S ribosomal RNA". It matches the Rfam family "Bacterial small subunit ribosomal RNA", at positions 29 to 507 of the family's 1533-position model. The record is from RNAcentral.
AGUGAACGCUGGCGGUAUGCCUAACACAUGCAAGUCGAACGGCAGCACGCUGAUAUCUUGCUCUUACGGGUUGCGGGUCGCGGACGUGUGACGAAUACAUCCUAAUCUACUUUUUCGGAUGGGUUAACGUAGCUAAGCUUACUCUAAUACCGCAUACGACCUACGGGUGAAAGCAUUGGAUCUUCUGACCUUGCGCGGUUGAAUGAGCCGCUGUCGGAUUAGCUAGUUGGCGGGUUAAAUGCCCACCAAGUCGACGAUCCGUAGCUGGUCUGAGAGAAUGGUCAGCCGCACUGGAACGGAGACACGGACAAGAGUACUAAGGGAGGCAGCAGUGGGGAACAUUGGACAAUGGGCGCAAGCAUGACCCAGCCAUAGCGCGUGGGUGAAGAAGGCCUUCGGGGUGUAAAGCCGUUUUGUUGGGAAAGAAAAGCAGCAGGUUAAGACCAAGCUGUUGUGACGGUACCGAAAGAAUAAGCACCGGCUAACUUCGUG